GUCAUCGCCUAAUUCACAUAAAAUUCCAUUUGCAUGUAAUUGUAAUGGACACUGUAGGAGAGAGGAAUAACGUCAUGGGAGAGACAAAAAUAUGGCAAGCCCCAAAGGACAAAAGGAUAUAAGGACAUCCAUCCCAUUAUUGACCUGAAUCACAUGUCCCCUCCUGUGAUGCUUGGUCAGGAUGGUCUACUACACUGCUGUGUCCCCGAGCCUGUGGACAGCUGAAUAUGGAAGAAUAUUUCUUUGUCUGGCAGAGAGGUUGACUCCCUUGAAUUUAAAGA
This is a long non-coding RNA of Monopterus albus (swamp eel), 281 nucleotides long. RefSeq lists it as uncharacterized. Lineage: Eukaryota; Metazoa; Chordata; Actinopteri; Synbranchiformes; Synbranchidae. The record is from RefSeq and is a predicted model, not a curated record. The transcript is spliced from 3 exons.